ACUAAGCGUACACGGUGGAUGCCCUGGCAGUCAGAGGCGAUGAAGGACGUGCUAAUCUGCGAUAAGCGUCGGUAAGGUGAUAUGAACCGUUAUAACCGGCGAUUUCCGAAUGGGGAAACCCAGUGUGUUUCGACACACUAUCAUUAACUGAAUCCAUAGGUUAAUGAGGCGAACCGGGGGAACUGAAACAUCUAAGUACCCCGAGGAAAAGAAAUCAACCGAGAUUCCCCCAGUAGCGGCGAGCGAACGGGGAGCAGCCCAGAGCCUGAAUCAGUGUGUGUGUUAGUGGAAGCGUCUGGAAAGGCGCGCGAUACAGGGUGACAGCCCCGUACACAAAAAUGCACAUACUGUGAGCUCGAUGAGUAGGGCGGGACACGUGGUAUCCUGUCUGAAUAUGGGGGGACCAUCCUCCAAGGCUAAAUACUCCUGACUGACCGAUAGUGAACCAGUACCGUGAGGGAAAGGCGAAAAGAACCCCGGCGAGGGGAGUGAAAAAGAACCUGAAACCGUGUACGUACAAGCAGUGGGAGCACGCUUAGGCGUGUGACUGCGUACCUUUUGUAUAAUGGGUCAGCGACUUAUAUUCUGUAGCAAGGUUAACCGAAUAGGGGAGCCGAAGGGAAACCGAGUCUUAACUGGGCGUUAAGUUGCAGGGUAUAGACCCGAAACCCGGUGAUCUAGCCAUGGGCAGGUUGAAGGUUGGGUAACACUAACUGGAGGACCGAACCGACUAAUGUUGAAAAAUUAGCGGAUGACUUGUGGCUGGGGGUGAAAGGCCAAUCAAACCGGGAGAUAGCUGGUUCUCCCCGAAAGCUAUUUAGGUAGCGCCUCGUGAAUUCAUCUCCGGGGGUAGAGCACUGUUUCGGCAAGGGGGUCAUCCCGACUUACCAACCCGAUGCAAACUGCGAAUACCGGAGAAUGUUAUCACGGGAGACACACGGCGGGUGCUAACGUCCGUCGUGAAGAGGGAAACAACCCAGACCGCCAGCUAAGGUCCCAAAGUCAUGGUUAAGUGGGAAACGAUGUGGGAAGGCCCAGACAGCCAGGAUGUUGGCUUAGAAGCAGCCAUCAUUUAAAGAAAGCGUAAUAGCUCACUGGUCGAGUCGGCCUGCGCGGAAGAUGUAACGGGGCUAAACCAUGCACCGAAGCUGCGGCAGCGACGCUUAUGCGUUGUUGGGUAGGGGAGCGUUCUGUAAGCCUGCGAAGGUGUGCUGUGAGGCAUGCUGGAGGUAUCAGAAGUGCGAAUGCUGACAUAAGUAACGAUAAAGCGGGUGAAAAGCCCGCUCGCCGGAAGACCAAGGGUUCCUGUCCAACGUUAAUCGGGGCAGGGUGAGUCGACCCCUAAGGCGAGGCCGAAAGGCGUAGUCGAUGGGAAACAGGUUAAUAUUCCUGUACUUGGUGUUACUGCGAAGGGGGGACGGAGAAGGCUAUGUUGGCCGGGCGACGGUUGUCCCGGUUUAAGCGUGUAGGCUGGUUUUCCAGGCAAAUCCGGAAAAUCAAGGCUGAGGCGUGAUGACGAGGCACUACGGUGCUGAAGCAACAAAUGCCCUGCUUCCAGGAAAAGCCUCUAAGCAUCAGGUAACAUCAAAUCGUACCCCAAACCGACACAGGUGGUCAGGUAGAGAAUACCAAGGCGCUUGAGAGAACUCGGGUGAAGGAACUAGGCAAAAUGGUGCCGUAACUUCGGGAGAAGGCACGCUGAUAUGUAGGUGAAGUCCCUUGCGGAUGGAGCUGAAAUCAGUCGAAGAUACCAGCUGGCUGCAACUGUUUAUUAAAAACACAGCACUGUGCAAACACGAAAGUGGACGUAUACGGUGUGACGCCUGCCCGGUGCCGGAAGGUUAAUUGAUGGGGUUAGCCGCAAGGCGAAGCUCUUGAUCGAAGCCCCGGUAAACGGCGGCCGUAACUAUAACGGUCCUAAGGUAGCGAAAUUCCUUGUCGGGUAAGUUCCGACCUGCACGAAUGGCGUAAUGAUGGCCAGGCUGUCUCCACCCGAGACUCAGUGAAAUUGAACUCGCUGUGAAGAUGCAGUGUACCCGCGGCAAGACGGAAAGACCCCGUGAACCUUUACUAUAGCUUGACACUGAACAUUGAGCCUUGAUGUGUAGGAUAGGUGGGAGGCUUUGAAGUGUGGACGCCAGUCUGCAUGGAGCCGACCUUGAAAUACCACCCUUUAAUGUUUGAUGUUCUAACGUUGACCCGUAAUCCGGGUUGCGGACAGUGUCUGGUGGGUAGUUUGACUGGGGCGGUCUCCUCCUAAAGAGUAACGGAGGAGCACGAAGGUUGGCUAAUCCUGGUCGGACAUCAGGAGGUUAGUGCAAUGGCAUAAGCCAGCUUGACUGCGAGCGUGACGGCGCGAGCAGGUGCGAAAGCAGGUCAUAGUGAUCCGGUGGUUCUGAAUGGAAGGGCCAUCGCUCAACGGAUAAAAGGUACUCCGGGGAUAACAGGCUGAUACCGCCCAAGAGUUCAUAUCGACGGCGGUGUUUGGCACCUCGAUGUCGGCUCAUCACAUCCUGGGGCUGAAGUAGGUCCCAAGGGUAUGGCUGUUCGCCAUUUAAAGUGGUACGCGAGCUGGGUUUAGAACGUCGUGAGACAGUUCGGUCCCUAUCUGCCGUGGGCGCUGGAGAACUGAGGGGGGCUGCUCCUAGUACGAGAGGACCGGAGUGGACGCAUCACUGGUGUUCGGGUUGUCAUGCCAAUGGCACUGCCCGGUAGCUAAAUGCGGAAGAGAUAAGUGCUGAAAGCAUCUAAGCACGAAACUUGCCCCGAGAUGAGUUCUCCCUGACUCCUUGAGAGUCCUGAAGGAACGUUGAAGACGACGACGUUGAUAGGCCGGGUGUGUAAGCGCAGCGAUGCGUUGAGCUAACCGGUACUAAUGAACCGUGAGGCUUAACC
This 2895-nucleotide ribosomal RNA is filed under the name Escherichia coli. Its description in RNAcentral is "bacterial LSU rRNA". It matches the Rfam family "Bacterial large subunit ribosomal RNA". The record is from RNAcentral. Lineage: Bacteria; Pseudomonadati; Pseudomonadota; Gammaproteobacteria; Enterobacterales; Enterobacteriaceae.